Molecule: ribosomal RNA, 492 nt
Filed under: uncultured bacterium
Lineage: Bacteria
Description: partial 16S ribosomal RNA
Rfam family: Bacterial small subunit ribosomal RNA
Source: RNAcentral
AGUGAACGCUGGCGGUAGGCCUAACACAUGCAAGUCGAACGGCAGCACAGUAAGAGCUUGCUCUUACGGGUGGCGAGUGGCGGACGGGUGGGGAAUACAUCGGAAUCUACUUUUUCGUGGGGGAUAACGUAGGGAAACUUACGCUAAUACCGCAUACGACCUACGGGUGAAAGCAGGGGAUCUUCGGACCUUGCGCGAUUGAAUGAGCCGAUGUCGGAUUAGCUAGUUGGCGGGGUAAAGGCCCACCAAGGCGACGAUCCGUAGCUGGUCUGAGAGGAUGAUCAGCCACACUGGAACUGAGACACGGUCCAGACUCCUACGGGAGGCAGCAGUGGGGAAUAUUGGACAAUGGGCGCAAGCCCGAUCCAGCCAUACCGCGUGGGUGAAGAAGGCCUUCGGGUUGUAAAGCCCUUUUGUUGGGAAAGAAAAGCAGCAGGUUAAUACCCCGCUGUUCUGACGGUACCCAAAGAAUAAGCACCGGCUAACUUCGUG